Long non-coding RNA from Amphiprion ocellaris (clown anemonefish), 1137 nucleotides. RefSeq lists it as uncharacterized. The transcript is spliced from 4 exons. NCBI's taxonomy places the organism in Eukaryota, Metazoa, Chordata, Actinopteri, Pomacentridae. The record is from RefSeq and is a predicted model, not a curated record.
AUCAUCUACCAGCUGGCAAUGGAGAGCCAAUCAAUUGCUGGCUAUAGUAUACUCAACUUUGCAUUUAUGUCCACACCUGACUUCAGCUGUUGUCAAAAUGCAUGAACACGAAAAGAAAACAUCAUGAAAUACAACCACAGUGGAAGCAACUGGUGGGCACUUGGGAAAAUGCUAUACAUGUUUUUUUUUUUUUUUUUUUUUUUAAAAAUCUUUACAAAAUAAAGAAAGAAAUUCCACCUCUAUUUUUGUGUUUGCCACACCCUCUGCUUCUAAUUGGCAGCUCUCCCUCUGUCUUACUUCCUCUCUGGGUGUGGCUGGAUCACCUGACACCAAUCACCAUCUCCUACACAAAAUUGACCAGUUUAAGCCCAAACUCGCUGCCAGAAGGUAGACUCAGCUACCAGCCAAUUUAACUCAGCCUUUUCUGAAUUUUCUGCCAGUUUGUCUCUGAUCUGCUGCUAGCAAUAGUUUCUCCUGCUGCCAGUUCUGUCACCACUUUGUGGUCAAACCAAUGGCUCCCCUCCAGCUUAACCAGCAACACCUGGACUCAUUCACAAGCCUCCUGGUUACAUCUCUAUUACCGGACACCUGCCUCCCACUGCUACACCGCUUUGACCAUCUCUGUCCUGAUCUGAUCUACAGCUCAACCUCUGCCCCAGCUGCAACCAAUCUCCACAACUCCAGUCAGCUAAGUGUGUCUCUGAGGUUUUAAGCUGCCCCUACUUCCAUAACUAUGCCCGGCCUGCUGCUGGAAAACUGAAAUAAUGAAGAACUCCGGGCAGCUGCGGUACGACACACCUGUGAAUCAUCCUCGCAAUAAAAGCCGGUCUCACUCUCCACACCCUGCCAGAUCGUAAACUCUGCUUCUGCAACCGUCGACCCUGCUGCCCGGAUUCCUCCAGCCCAGUCCAUCCUCCACAUCUCCCGGAAUUCCUCCUCCGUCUGCGUGUGGAACACCCUGCCUGUUGCUCCCCUGGAAUCGGAGUCUCCUGCCCGCUCUCCACCGCCGACUCACCCCAUCCCGGACGCCCACCAAGCCGCUGAUUCCCGGUACCGUCACACCCCCCCCCCCCCCCCCCCCGACACUCCCCUUUAGUUUAUUCUCUGGAUCCUCAUCACCUUUUCGCUUCCGUUCAC